AAUGGGUCAGCGACUUAUAUUCUGUAGCAAGGUUAACCGAAUAGGGGAGCCGAAGGGAAACCGAGUCUUAACUGGGCGUUAAGUUGCAGGGUAUAGACCCGAAACCCGGUGAUCUAGCCAUGGGCAGGUUGAAGGUUGGGUAACACUAACUGGAGGACCGAACCGACUAAUGUUGAAAAAUUAGCGGAUGACUUGUGGCUGGGGGUGAAAGGCCAAUCAAACCGGGAGAUAGCUGGUUCUCCCCGAAAGCUAUUUAGGUAGCGCCUCGUGAAUUCAUCUCCGGGGGUAGAGCACUGUUUCGGCAAGGGGGUCAUCCCGACUUACCAACCCGAUGCAAACUGCGAAUACCGGAGAAUGUUAUCACGGGAGACACACGGCGGGUGCUAACGUCCGUCGUGAAGAGGGAAACAACCCAGACCGCCAGCUAAGGUCCCAAAGUCAUGGUUAAGUGGGAAACGAUGUGGGAAGGCCCAGACAGCCAGGAUGUUGGCUUAGAAGCAGCCAUCAUUUAAAGAAAGCGUAAUAGCUCACUGGUCGAGUCGGCCUGCGCGGAAGAUGUAACGGGGCUAAACCAUGCACCGAAGCUGCGGCAGCGACACUAUGUGUUGUUGGGUAGGGGAGCGUUCUGUAAGCCUGCGAAGGUGUACUGUGAGGUAUGCUGGAGGUAUCAGAAGUGCGAAUGCUGACAUAAGUAACGAUAAAGCGGGUGAAAAGCCCGCUCGCCGGAAGACCAAGGGUUCCUGUCCAACGUUAAUCGGGGCAGGGUGAGUCGACCCCUAAGGCGAGGCCGAAAGGCGUAGUCGAUGGGAAACAGGUUAAUAUUCCUGUACUUGGUGUUACUGCGAAGGGGGGACGGAGAAGGCUAUGUUGGCCGGGCGACGGUUGUCCCGGUUUAAGCGUGUAGGCUGGUUUUCCAGGCAAAUCCGGAAAAUCAAGGCUGAGGCGUGAUGACGAGGCACUACGGUGCUGAAGCAACAAAUGCCCUGCUUCCAGGAAAAGCCUCUAAGCAUCAGGUAACAUUAAAUCGUACCCCAAACCGACACAGGUGGUCAGGUAGAGAAUACCAAGGCGCUUGAGAGAACUCGGGUGAAGGAACUAGGCAAAAUGGUGCCGUAACUUCGGGAG
This 1125-nucleotide ribosomal RNA is filed under the name Escherichia coli. Its description in RNAcentral is "partial 23S ribosomal RNA". It matches the Rfam family "Bacterial large subunit ribosomal RNA", at positions 614 to 1742 of the family's 2925-position model. The record is from RNAcentral. Lineage: Bacteria; Pseudomonadati; Pseudomonadota; Gammaproteobacteria; Enterobacterales; Enterobacteriaceae.